This is a long non-coding RNA of Rattus norvegicus (Norway rat), 346 nucleotides long. RefSeq lists it as uncharacterized. The record is from RefSeq and is a predicted model, not a curated record. NCBI's taxonomy places the organism in Eukaryota, Metazoa, Chordata, Mammalia, Rodentia, Muridae.
UCUCUUGGGAGACCAUUAACCCCUUCAGACAUUUGAGGAAACAUGCUUCAUAUGUCAAGACAAUACACUAGUUUUGUAAUAAAGGAAAGUACACAGAUGGGAGAGACUUGGUGGGCUCUGACCUCAGAGUUGAAGCCCACACUGUCAGCAUGGGCAGAAGUAGGAUCAUUCCUCUUGCCAACCAGACUCUACCAGCAGCCACUCCAGAUCAGAUGACAGCUCUACCCAAGUCCAUGGAACCAAACCACUGUGAGAUAAACUUGUAAGCCAAAAUACAUCUUGUUUUUCCUUCUUUGCAGGGAUGUGGGGGGAUGAACAUAUGAAUAAAGAAUAAGAAUAAAAUGAA